Molecule: ribosomal RNA, 468 nt
Filed under: uncultured bacterium
Lineage: Bacteria
Description: partial 16S ribosomal RNA
Rfam family: Bacterial small subunit ribosomal RNA
Source: RNAcentral
GAUGAACGCUGGCGGCGUGCUUAACACAUGCAAGUCGAACGGCAACGCCCUGCUUUUGUGCGCUGCUCGAGUGGCGAACGGGUGCGUAACACGUGUGUAUCCUGCCCUUGUUUUUCGUAUAACUUCACGAAACUGGGGUUAAUAUCGGAUCGCAGCUCCUGUUCCAUUGUGGGGGUUGGAACGUUUCGGCGGUUGGGGAUGGAUUGGCGGCUUAUCAGCUUGUUGGUUGGGUAGUGGCUUACCAAGGCUUUGACGGAUCCUCGACCUGUGAGGGUGGACAGGCACAAGAGGACUGAGAGACGGCCCAGUGGCCAACAGGAGACAGCGGUGGGGAGUAUUACACAGUGAGAGGGAGCCUGAUGCAGCGGCGCCGCGGGCGGAAUGACGGCCUGCGGGUAGAAAACCGCAUUCGCCUGAGACGAAGCGGGAGUGACGGUAAUGAAUAAAUAAGCACCGGCUAACUACGUG